RNAcentral lists this ribosomal RNA (253 nucleotides) under uncultured bacterium. RNAcentral describes it as "partial 16S ribosomal RNA". It matches the Rfam family "Bacterial small subunit ribosomal RNA", at positions 524 to 776 of the family's 1533-position model. The record is from RNAcentral.
UACGUAGGCAGCGAGCGUUGUUCGGAGUUACUGGGCGUAAAGGGUGUGUAGGCGGUUGUUUAAGUUUGGUGUGAAAUCUCCCGGCUCAACUGGGAGGGUGCGCCGAAUACUGAAUGACUAGAGUGCGGGAGAGGUGAGUGGAAUUCCUGGUGUAGCGGUGAAAUGCGUAGAUAUCAGGAGGAACACCGGUGGCGAAGGCGGCUACCUGGACAGAAACUGACGCUGAGGCACGAAAGCUAGGGGAGCAAACAGG